Molecule: ribosomal RNA, 473 nt
Filed under: uncultured bacterium
Lineage: Bacteria
Description: SSU rRNA
Rfam family: Bacterial small subunit ribosomal RNA
Source: RNAcentral
AGGACGAACGCUGGCGGCGUGCUUAACACAUGCAAGUCGAGCGAGGCCCUCUCUUCGGAGAGGUGCCCUAGCGGCGAACGGGUGAGUAACACGUGGGCAACCUGCCCCUAGCACUGGGAUAAGCCCGGGAAACCGGGUCUAAUACCGGAUAUGACCUUCAAGGGCAUCCUCGAAGGUGUAAAGGAUUCUGGCUAGGGAUGGGCCCGCGGCCUAUCAGCUUGUUGGUGGGGUAAUGGCCCACCAAGGCAACGACGGGUAGCCGGCCUGAGAGGGCGACCGGCCACACUGGGACUGAGACACGGCCCAGACUCCUACGGGAGGCAGCAGUGGGGAAUAUUGCACAAUGGGCGAAAGCCUGAUGCAGCAACGCCGCGUGAGGGACGAAGGCUUUCUGAGUUGUAAACCUCUUUCAGCAGGGACGAUUGUGACGGUACCUGCAGAAGAAGCCCCGGCAACUACGCGCCAGCAGCCGC